CGACCGGCGCACGGGUGAGUAACACGUAUGCAACCUGGCUGUGACAGAUGGAUAACCGGGAGAAAUCCCGCCUAAUACAGCAUGACGCCGGGAAGGGACAUCCCUUUCCGGCCAAAGGGGGCGACUCCGGUCACGGAUGGGCAUGCGGCGCAUUAGGUAGUUGGUGGGGCAACGGCCCACCAAGCCGACGAUGCGUAGGGGUUCUGAGAGGAAGGUCCCCCACAUUGGAACUGAGACACGGUCCAAACUCCUACGGAAGGCAGCAG
Molecule: ribosomal RNA, 266 nt
Filed under: uncultured bacterium
Lineage: Bacteria
Description: partial 16S ribosomal RNA
Rfam family: Bacterial small subunit ribosomal RNA
Source: RNAcentral